Molecule: non-coding RNA, 75 nt
Filed under: Cellulomonas carbonis T26
Lineage: Bacteria; Bacillati; Actinomycetota; Actinomycetes; Micrococcales; Cellulomonadaceae
Also listed under: 1 other name
Description: Cellulomonas sp. T26 c-di-GMP-I-GGC riboswitch aptamer
Rfam family: c-di-GMP-I-GGC riboswitch aptamer
Source: Rfam by way of RNAcentral
CCACGAAAAGGCAAACCUGUCGCGAGGCAGGGGCGCAAAGCCAUGGGACCCCCGCGGUCAGCCAGGCUACCGAAA